This 957-nucleotide ribosomal RNA is filed under the name uncultured bacterium. RNAcentral's name for it is "partial 16S ribosomal RNA". It matches the Rfam family "Bacterial small subunit ribosomal RNA", at positions 1 to 895 of the family's 1533-position model. The record is from RNAcentral.
GGGGAUGUGCUGCAAGGCGAUUAAGUUGGGUAACGCCAGGGUUUUCCCAGUCACGACGUUGUAAAACGACGGCCAGUGAAUUGUAAUACGACUCACUUAUAGGGCGAAUUGGGCCCGACGUCGCAUGCUCCCGGCCGCCAUGGCGGCCGCGGGAAAUUCGAUUUGGGUAACCUGCCCUUGAGACCGGGAUACCCUCUCGAAAGGGAGGCUAAUACUGGAUACGUUCCCCGGGGCGCAAGACCUGGGGAGGAAAGGUGGCGAAAGCUGCCGCUCUUGGAGGGGCUCGCGGCCUAUCAGCUAGUUGGUGAGGUAACGGCUCACCAAGGCUAUGACGGGUAGCUGGUCUGAGAGGACGACCAGCCACACGGGAACUGAGACACGGUCCCGACUCCUACGGGAGGCAGCAGUGGGGAAUUUUCCGCAAUGGGCGAAAGCCUGACGGAGUGACGCCGCGUGGGGGACGAAGGCCUUCGGGUCGUAAACCCCUGUCAGAGGGAAAGAAGGGUGCUGGCGUGAACAGCGCCGGCAUCUGACGGUACCUUCAGAGGAAGCCCCGGCCAACUCUGUGCCAGCAGCCGCGGUAAGACAGAGGGGGCAAGCGUUGCUCGGAAUCACUGGGCGUAAAGGGCGCGUAGGCGGGAUGGCAAGUCGGUCGUGAAAUCCUUCGGCUCAACCGAAGAACGUCGGCCAAUACUGCCGUUCUUGAGGGAUGCAGAGGAGAUUGGAAUUCCCGGUGUAGCGGUGAAAUGUGUAGAGAUCGGGAGGAACACCGGUGGCGAAGGCGGGUCUCUGGGCAUCUCCUGACGCUGAGGCGCGAAAGCGUGGGGAGCAAACGGGAUUAGAUACCCCGGUAGUCCACGCUGUAAACGAUGACGACUAGGUGUGGGGGGGGUUAGUCCUUUCCGUGCCGCAGCUAACGCAUUAAGUCGUCCGCCUGGGGAGUACGGCCGCAAGGUU